CCUACGGGAGGCAGCAGUAGGGAAUUUUCGGCAAUGGGGGGAACCCUGACCGAGUAACGCCGCGUGAACGAAGAAGUUAUUCGUAAUGUAAAGUUCUUUUAACAGGGAAGAAAGAGAAAUUUGACGGUACCUGAAGAAUAAGCUCCGGCUAACUACGUGCCAGCAGCGGCGGUAAUACGUAGGGAGCGAGCGUUAUCCGGAAUUAUUGGGCGGAAAGGGUGCGUAGAUGGCAUAGUAAGUCUUUUGUAAAAAGCCUGGGAUAAACCCAGUAGGGCAACAGAUACUCCAAAGCUAGAGGAUGACAGAGGCAAGUGGAACGACAGGUGUAGCGGUAAAAGGCGUAAAUAGAUGUAAGAACACCAGGGGCGAAGGCGGCUUGCUGGGUCGAUACUGACAUGGAGGCACGAAAGCGUGGGGAGCAAACAGGAGUAGAUACCCUAGGAGGC
This 446-nucleotide ribosomal RNA is filed under the name uncultured bacterium. Its description in RNAcentral is "partial 16S ribosomal RNA". It matches the Rfam family "Bacterial small subunit ribosomal RNA", at positions 338 to 795 of the family's 1533-position model. The record is from RNAcentral.